AGGACGAACGCUGGCGGCGUGCUUAACACAUGCAAGUGGAGCGACGAACCAGGGCUUGCCCUGGGGCAGAGCCGCGAACGGGUGAGUAACACGUGGGUUACCUGCCUCGAUGACCGGGACAACCCGAGGAAACUCGGGCUAAUACCGGAUGUGCCCGCAAGGGGAAAGGAAGCUUCGGCCUCCGCAUCGAGAUGGGCCCGCGGCCCAUUAGCUUGUUGGUGAGGUAACGGCUCACCAAGGCUUCGAUGGGUAGCUGGUCUGAGAGGACGAUCAGCCACACUGGGACUGAGACACGGCCCAGACUCCUACGGGAGGCAGCAGUGGGGAAUCUUGCGCAAUGCGCGAAAGCGUGACGCAGCAACGCCGCGUGGGGGAAGAAGGCUUUCGGGUGUAAACCACUGUCAGGGGUAAGAAAGUUCUGAUCUGCCCCAGAGGAAGGCACGGCUAACUCUGUGCCAGCAGCCGC
RNAcentral lists this ribosomal RNA (466 nucleotides) under uncultured bacterium. RNAcentral's name for it is "SSU rRNA". It matches the Rfam family "Bacterial small subunit ribosomal RNA", at positions 26 to 518 of the family's 1533-position model. The record is from RNAcentral.